CGCGUGAGAAUCUGCCUUCGGGUCUGGGAUAACAGUUGGAAACGACUGCUAAUACCGGAUGUGCCNNNGGGUGAAAGAUUUAUNUGCCAGAAGAUGAGCUCGCGUCUGAUUAGCUAGUUGGUGGGGUAAAAGCCUACCAAGGCGACGAUCAGUAGCUGGUCUGAGAGGAUGAGCAGCCACACUGGGACUGAGACACGGCCCAGACUCCUACGGGAGGCAGCAGUGGGGAAUUUUCCGCAAUGGGCGAAAGCCUGACGGAGCAAGACCGCGUGAGGGAGGANAGGCCUUUGGGUUGUAAACCUCUUUUGUCAGGGAAGAAAAAAAUGACGGUACCUGACGAAUCAGCCUCGGCUAACUCCGUGCCAGCAGCCGCGGUAAUACGGAGGAGGCAAGCGUUAUCCGGAAUCAUUGGGCGUAAAGCGUCCGUAGGUGGCCAAGUAAGUCUGCUGUCAAAGACCACAGCUUAACUGUGGAAAGGCAGUGGAAACUGCGGGGCUAGAGUACGGUAGGGGUAGAGGGAAUUCCAGGUGUAGCGGUGAAAUGCGUAGAGCUCUGGAAGAACACCGGUGGCGAAAGCGCUCUACUGGGCCGUAACUGACACUGAGGGACGAAAGCUAGGGGAGCGAAAGGGA
RNAcentral lists this ribosomal RNA (632 nucleotides) under Oscillatoria sp. MOR355. RNAcentral's name for it is "bacterial SSU rRNA". It matches the Rfam family "Bacterial small subunit ribosomal RNA", at positions 114 to 777 of the family's 1533-position model. Lineage: Bacteria; Bacillati; Cyanobacteriota; Cyanophyceae; Oscillatoriales; Oscillatoriaceae. The record is from RNAcentral.